Molecule: ribosomal RNA, 119 nt
Filed under: Pteropus alecto (black flying fox)
Lineage: Eukaryota; Metazoa; Chordata; Mammalia; Chiroptera; Pteropodidae
Source: RNAcentral
GUCUAUGGCCAUGCUAUCGUGAACAUGCCCAAUCCUGUCUGAUUUUGGAAGCUAAGCAGGGUCGGGCCUGGUUAGUACUUGAACGGGAGACCACCUAGGAAGACCAAGUGCUGUAGGCA